This 165-nucleotide ribosomal RNA is filed under the name Alyssum flexicaule. RNAcentral describes it as "5.8S ribosomal RNA". It matches the Rfam family "5.8S ribosomal RNA". Rfam says of the family: 5.8S ribosomal RNA (5.8S rRNA) is a component of the large subunit of the eukaryotic ribosome. The record is from RNAcentral. Lineage: Eukaryota; Viridiplantae; Streptophyta; Magnoliopsida; Brassicales; Brassicaceae.
AAAACGACUCUCGGCAACGGAUAUCUCGGCUCUCGCAUCGAUGAGGAACGUAGCGAAAUGCGAUACUUGGUGUGAAUUGCAGAAUCCCGUGAACCAUCGAGUCUUUGAACGCAAGUUGCGCCCUAAGCCUUCUGGCCGAGGGCACGUCUGCCUGGGUGUCACAAA